This is a long non-coding RNA of Humulus lupulus (European hop), 813 nucleotides long. RefSeq lists it as uncharacterized. The record is from RefSeq and is a predicted model, not a curated record. The transcript has 2 exons. Lineage: Eukaryota; Viridiplantae; Streptophyta; Magnoliopsida; Rosales; Cannabaceae.
CUCAUCCUAGCAAGCUUGGAACACAACUCAAGCUUAUGUUGAGGAAUCACCUUUGUUAGCAUAUUCACUACAUUCUUGUUGGCGUGAAUCUUCUGCAGCUAGGAUAGCUUAUUCUCAAGUGCAUCAUGAAUCCAAUAAUAUCUGACAUCUAUGUGCUUUUACUUCUGUUGUGGAUUAAGUGUGGUUAUUAAGGAAAUAGCUUGAAAUUGAAGGGAAAACGCUUAAUUCUUGAAGAAACGGUGUUAAACGGGCUAAGGAAUGGAAAUUGGGCAAAAUUGGGGGUCAAAUUGGUGAUUUGGUGAAAAAUUGGAAUUAGAGACGCAACUCUAUGGUGUAGAGCUGCAGCCCUAAGAGUUACAUAGAAGAACAAAAGAAUCAGCGAGACUUAGGGCCUAGGCGCUAGGGAGACAGAGUUAAGGCUCCAUUAAAAUGGAAAUUAGAGUUGCAGCGCUACCAGAUAGAGUUGCGACGCUACAUAAUCCAGAGACAAGUUCUGGAACUCGAAGCAACCCAGAGUUGCAAUGCUACUAGAUGGAGUCGCGACACCAGUCCGUACUGAAGCUGAAUGUAAUGCCCCGACUAAUUCUAGACCUCGGACCAUUAAAAACUACUAAACAUAACUACUAUUUUGGAAUACAUACAUACAUAAAAUAUUUGAACUUUAUUAAAAAUCCAAAAUACGGUACGAAAUACAAAAUAGGGUAUGGGUACCCAUUGUUUAGUACAUAAAACAUAAAAACAUAAACUUUAAUUAAUUGUUUAAAUACUAAGUGCGGAAAUACAAAAAACAUAAAUUAAAAGACUUGAAAACAA